ACAGAGAGAAGAGGGGAGCUGGCCAGUCAACCCGGGACCAGCCAACCAGACGCUGAGGAGGCAGGAAAGCAUGAUGGAUGGUACAUAGAUGAGGUAAACUGAGGGAAUGAAGUCAUCUCAACAAGCUCGUGUGUGGACGGGAGACAGUGUUUGAUCAACAUGUUAACAGCGACCGCUUUGAGACAGAAUGCACAGAGAAGAAGAAAAGCACAGAACAAAUGGAUUCCCGCUGCUGUUAGGUUACACAACAUCUAAGGGCAUUGCUGGGGCCCUUGCCCCACGCACACUCCGAACUUCUCCCCUCUAGAGUAAGUGCACUCACACCCACAGCAAAGAAGGUUGCUGGCUGCCUUCUGGAGUUCAGCAGACACCUAAUAAACUUAUAGUUAGA
Long non-coding RNA from Mesocricetus auratus (golden hamster), 391 nucleotides. RefSeq lists it as uncharacterized. NCBI's taxonomy places the organism in Eukaryota, Metazoa, Chordata, Mammalia, Rodentia, Cricetidae. The record is from RefSeq and is a predicted model, not a curated record. The transcript has 2 exons.